UACGUAGGCAGCAAGCGUUGUUCGGAAUCACUGGGCGUAAAGCGCACGCAGGCGGAGCGAUAAGUCGGGGGUGAAAGCCCGGGGCUCAACCUCGGAAUUGCCUUCGAUACUGUCGGUCUCGAGUCCGGGAGAGGUGAGUGGAAUUCCUAGUGUAGAGGUGAAAUUCGUAGAUAUUAGGAAGAACACCAGUGGCGAAGGCGGCUCACUGGCCCGGUACUGACGCUCAGGUGCGAAAGCGUGGGGAGCAAACAGG
This 253-nucleotide ribosomal RNA is filed under the name uncultured bacterium. RNAcentral describes it as "partial 16S ribosomal RNA". It matches the Rfam family "Bacterial small subunit ribosomal RNA", at positions 524 to 776 of the family's 1533-position model. The record is from RNAcentral.